CCAAUAGCGUAUAUUAAAGUUGUUGCAAUUAAAAAGCUCGUAGUUGAAUUUCGGGGUUCUACCGUUGGUCGGGCUUUGUCUGUACUGUCGUGUGGAAUUUCUACCUUCUGGGGAACCAUCAUGUUAUUAAUUUAACGUGGUGGGAAACCAGGACCUUUACCUUGAAAAAACUAGAUUGUUCAAAGCAGGCUUAUGUUUGAAUACAUUAGCAUGGAAUAAUAAAAUAGGACGGUGGUCCUGUUUUGUUGGUUUCUGAAUCACCGUAAUGAUUAAUAGGGAUAGUUGGGGGCAUUAGUAUUCAAUUGUCAGAGGUGAAAUUCUUGGAUUUAUUGAAGACUAACUUCUGCGAAAGCAUUUGCCAAGGAUGUUUUCAUUAAUCAAGAACGAAAGUUAGGGGAUCGAAGACGAUCAGAUACCGUCGUAGUCUUAACCAUAAACUAUGCCGACUAGGGAUCGGACGAUGUUAAUUUUUCUUGACUCGUUCGGCGCCUUACG
RNAcentral lists this ribosomal RNA (495 nucleotides) under uncultured Glomeromycotina. RNAcentral describes it as "partial small subunit ribosomal RNA". It matches the Rfam family "Eukaryotic small subunit ribosomal RNA", at positions 591 to 1092 of the family's 1831-position model. The record is from RNAcentral. Lineage: Eukaryota; Fungi; Glomeromycota.